This 900-nucleotide ribosomal RNA is filed under the name uncultured archaeon. Its description in RNAcentral is "bacterial SSU rRNA". It matches the Rfam family "Archaeal small subunit ribosomal RNA", at positions 455 to 1354 of the family's 1478-position model. The record is from RNAcentral.
GUGUCAGCAGCCGCGGUAAAACCAGCACCUCAAGUGGUCAGGAUGAUUAUUGGGCCUAAAGCAUCCGUAGCCGGCUCUGUAAGUUUUCGGUUAAAUCUGUACGCUUAACGUACAGGCUGCUGGGAAUACUGCAGGGCUAGGGAGUGGGAGAGGUAGACGGUACUCGGGAGGAAGUGGUAAAAUGCUUUGAUCUCUCGAUGACCACCUGUGGCGAAGGCGGUCUACCAGAACACGUCCGACGGUGAGGGAUGAAAGCUGGGGGAGCAAACCGGAUUAGAUACCCGGGUAGUCCCAGCUGUAAACUAUGCAAACUCAGUGAUGCGCUGGCUUAUGGCUAGUGCAGUGUUGCAGGGAAGCCGUUAAGUUUGCCGCCUGGGAAGUACGUACGCAAGUAUGAAACUUAAAGGAAUUGGCGGGGGAGCACCACAAGGGGUGAAGCCUGCGGUUCAAUUGGAGUCAACGCCAGAAAUCUUACCCGGAGAGACAGCAGAAUGAAGGUCAAGCUGAAGACUUUACCAGACAAGCUGAGAGGUGGUGCAUGGCCGUCGCCAGCUCGUGCCGUGAGAUGUCCUGUUAAGUCAGGUAACGAGCGAGAUCCCUGCCUCUAGUUGCCACCAUUACUCUCAGGAGUAGUGGGGCGAAUUAGCGGGACCGCCGCAGUUAAUGCGGAGGAAGGAAGGGGCCACGGCAGGUCAGUAUGCCCCGAAACUCUGGGGCCACACGCGGGCUGCAAUGGUAACGACAAUGUGUUUCGAAUCCGAAAGGAAGAGGUAAUCCUCAAACGUUACCACAGUUAUGACUGAGGGCUGCAACUCGCCCUCACGAAUAUGGAAUCCCUAGUAACUGCGUGUCAUUAUCGCGCGGUGAAUACGUCCCUGCUCCUUGCACACACCGCCCGUC